This 68-nucleotide transfer RNA is filed under the name Sigmella normalis. Its description in RNAcentral is "tRNA-Ser". The record is from RNAcentral. Lineage: Eukaryota; Metazoa; Arthropoda; Insecta; Blattodea; Blattellidae.
GUUAAAAACCCAAUGAAAGGAUUGUGUUUUGAAAGCAUAAUAAAGAGGUUAAAAUCCUCUAUUUAACU